GGCUUAUUGAAAAUAAUUUUAAGUCUGACCUGCCCACUGAAGAUUUAAAUGGCCGCGGUAUUUUGACCGUGCAAAGGUAGCAUAAUCAUUAGUUUUUUAAUUGAAAGCUUGUAUGAAUGGUUUGAUGAAAAAUUUUCUGUCUCUUUUAAAAUAAAAUAGAAUUUUAUUUUUAAGUUAAAAAGCUUAAAUUUACAUGGAAGACGAGAAGACCCUAUAGAGUUUUAUAUUUAGGUAAGGAUGGUGUAAGAGGAAAAUAAAAACUUGUUUUUACUUGAAAUGUUUAGUUGGGGUGAUUGGAAAAUUGAAUUAACUUUUUUUAAAAUUUUAUAUUAAUUUAUAAAUAAGUGAUCCUAAAGUUUAGAUUGGAAGAUAAAAUUACCUUAGGGAUAACAGCGUAAUUUUAUCUAGAGUUCUUAUCGAAGAUAAGGAUUGCGACCUCGAUGUUGGAUUAAAAUUAAUGGUUGGUGUAGAGGCUAAUCUAUUAGGUCUGUUCGACUUUUAAAAUUUUACAUGAUCUGAGUUUAAACCGGUGUAAG
Molecule: ribosomal RNA, 536 nt
Filed under: Trigonopterus sp. 656 AR-2022a
Lineage: Eukaryota; Metazoa; Arthropoda; Insecta; Coleoptera; Curculionidae
Description: partial large subunit ribosomal RNA
Rfam family: Bacterial large subunit ribosomal RNA
Source: RNAcentral